This 2106-nucleotide long non-coding RNA is filed under the name Homo sapiens (human). RNAcentral describes it as "lncAB78.2". The record is from RNAcentral. Lineage: Eukaryota; Metazoa; Chordata; Mammalia; Primates; Hominidae.
CGGGUUGAGAAACAUUUAGGAGGUCAAGUUGUUGGGACCCAGAGACUGAUGGGAUGUGUGUGGGAUGAGAGGGAGGAGUCAAGGUGGCCUUGUCCUGGGGCUGAGCAGUGGUGCAACCCAGCCCUGAGGAAUUCCGGGAGUGGAGCCGACUUGGAAACUCAAGGCCAAUCUCAGGUUGAGACAUGUAGGUAGCAGAGCUGGGAUCUGAACCCUUCCUUGUCUGACUUCAAAUUCCAUCAGGCCCUGACAUUCUCCAGCUUUCAUGGUGUUCCUGCAAUCCAAGUGCCGCUUAUCUCUCUACAGGUCCACCAGAUGACCGGCUGGCCUCCUAAUUGGGCUUCCUGCAUUCCUGCCUGUGCUCGGAGCUCCCUUCUCCACUUGCCUGCUGGAGGAGGUUUACAAACAAAAUCAGAUCAUGGCACUCCCCUGGGGCCCUGCAUCCUGUGGCCAGCAGGUCUUGGAAACGCCCCUGUACCCCAGAAACUUCCUGAUCAGUCCCUGGUCAGUGUAUAUCAUGCUUCCUGUGACAUGACAUCAACUUUUCAGUGACUUCCACUGGUUUUGGCCCAGCUCGAAGAGCCUGACACCUCUGCAGGGAAUUCUACCAGGGAGCUCAGGAGGGGGAAUUGCACUGAAGAUUUGUCCCAUCGUGAAGCAAGAGCACUGGAACUUACACUCCACCAUCAGGCCCUGUCACAGGAGAACAAAGAAGGAAGGCAGAGGAGAUCAUGCUCCGGCCAGCAGGGAAUCUCCAUUUUUUUCAGCCUCAUACCUUGGAAAGUACAAAGGAGUGAGAGCUGGGACUACCAGCCAGAGGGUUCAUGGAGGUAGUGGGAGGGGAAGAUGGGUUCUGCAUGGAGCCACUCCAGGGACUUUUCUUCUGUCUCACAGCCUGACAAUCACCUCUAGCUGUUCUCAGUCCCAUUCUCAUCAAUGACCUCGUCUCCUGAUUUUGUACAAUAUCUAGGUGACCUUCUCUUCUUUCCAUCUUCAAACGCUUGAUCAUUGAUGCUCCCUUUUCUCUUCUCUCUCCUCCUGGGAAAAGAGAAGGACCAACAUCCCCCUUUCCCUUCCUCCUGUGCUGUCCCGACCCCUCUGAGACCUGGCUCUAGCAGUAAGUCCCUCUCUCUUCUGCAGCACCAGCCUCUGCCCAUCCCUGCCCUCUGCACACAAAGCUCUCACAUUGUCUGCACUUUAAGAACUUUUGUGGCAAACCCUGGCAAAUCCUGCCACUUGUUUCCACUCUUCUCAAAUGGCUUUGAGGUCAUCAUUGACCUAUCCCAUUUGACCCUGUCCUGUAUCUGAUGUUGUACCCUUUCUCCUUGAUCCCACUCUGGCAACUCUCCCACUCCCCUUUCUUGGAUCAACUGUCUUGCUCCUCAGUCUUGAUCAAUGCCUCCUUCUCUCUCUUUAGCCUUGGCCCUUUUUGGCCAGGGAAAUAAAUGUGAAAUACAUAAAGCUUCAUUUUAUCUUAUGAUUAUAGCUAUGUUGAUGUUACCCAAGACCUAAAAGUCACACUCUCUAAUUACACUUCCCUCCUGUGUUCUGGGUCCUCUUGGACCAGUCCUUACUCUGGCUCCCCUCCUGGAUGUCUCCCAGACUUCUAAUUAGAAUUACUGUUUCCUAUAUCAAGCUAAUUAUCUUUCCCACCAACCUCCUCCAUCCUUGGGUGAAAGCAUCACUUGGUUGCAAAAGUCAGAAAUCUGGGUUUCAUUCUUGCGGUAGGUAGAAUAAUGCCCCCAGGCCCCAGGUUUUGACAUCCGAAUCCCUGGGACUUUGCAGAUGUGAUUCAGUUUAGGAUUUUGAGAUGGGGAGAUUAUCUGGGAGAGCCUGAUGUCAUCAUAAGGUUCUUAUAAGAGGGAGGCAGGAGGGUUAGAGUGAGUAGUAAGAGAUGCAACAGUGGAAGCAAGAGGUUGGGGUGAUGUGGCCACAAGCCCAGGAGUGCUGACAGACAUCAGAAGCUGGAAGGGACAAGGAAUGGUUUCUCCUCUGGAGCCUCCAGAAAGAACCAGCCCUGCUGACACCUUGAUUUUAGCCUUGGAAGACUCAUUUUGGACUUCUGACCUUGAACGUUGUAAGAGAAUAAAUUUACAUAUUUUAAACUGG